RNAcentral lists this ribosomal RNA (1160 nucleotides) under Salmonella enterica subsp. enterica serovar Brandenburg. RNAcentral describes it as "partial 23S ribosomal RNA". It matches the Rfam family "Bacterial large subunit ribosomal RNA", at positions 1 to 1191 of the family's 2925-position model. The record is from RNAcentral. Lineage: Bacteria; Pseudomonadati; Pseudomonadota; Gammaproteobacteria; Enterobacterales; Enterobacteriaceae.
GGGUUGUGAGGUUAAGCGACUAAGCGUACACGGUGGAUGCCCUGGCAGUCAGAGGCGAUGAAGGACGUGCUAAUCUGCGAUAAGCGCCGGUAAGGUGAUAUGAACCGUUAUAACCGGCGAUUUCCGAAUGGGGAAACCCAGUGUGACUCGUCACACUAUCAUUAACUGAAUCCAUAGGUUAAUGAGGCGAACCGGGGGAACUGAAACAUCUAAGUACCCCGAGGAAAAGAAAUCAACCGAGAUUCCCCCAGUAGCGGCGAGCGAACGGGGAGGAGCCCAGAGCCUGAAUCAGCAUGUGUGUUAGUGGAAGCGUCUGGAAAGGCGCGCGAUACAGGGUGACAGCCCCGUACACAAAAGCGCACAUGCUGUGAGCUCGAUGAGUAGGGCGGGACACGUGGUAUCCUGUCUGAAUAUGGGGGGACCAUCCUCCAAGGCUAAAUACUCCUGACUGACCGAUAGUGAACCAGUACCGUGAGGGAAAGGCGAAAAGAACCCCGGCGAGGGGAGUGAAAAAGAACCUGAAACCGUGUACGUACAAGCAGUGGGAGCACAGGUUUACCUGUGUGACUGCGUACCUUUUGUAUAAUGGGUCAGCGACUUAUAUUCUGUAGCAAGGUUAACCGAAUAGGGGAGCCGGAGGGAAACCGAGUCUUAAUUGGGCGUUAAGUUGCAGGGUAUAGACCCGAAACCCGGUGAUCUAGCCAUGGGCAGGUUGAAGGUUGGGUAACACUAACUGGAGGACCGAACCGACUAAUGUUGAAAAAUUAGCGGAUGACCUGUGGCUGGGGGUGAAAGGCCAAUCAAACCGGGAGAUAGCUGGUUCUCCCCGAAAGCUAUUUAGGUAGCGCCUCGUGAAUUCAUCUCCGGGGGUAGAGCACUGUUUCGGCUAGGGGGCCAUCCCGGCUUACCAACCCGAUGCAAACUGCGAAUACCGGAGAAUGUUAUCACGGGAGACACACGGCGGGUGCUAACGUCCGUCGUGAAGAGGGAAACAACCCAGACCGCCAGCUAAGGUCCCAAAGUCAUGGUUAAGUGGGAAACGAUGUGGGAAGGCCCAGACAGCCAGGAUGUUGGCUUAGAAGCAGCCAUCAUUUAAAGAAAGCGUAAUAGCUCACUGGUCGAGUCGGCCUGCGCGGAAGAUGUAACGGGGCUAAACCAUG